GCCUGGCUUGCCUGUAGUCACAGCUACUUGAGAGGCUGAGGUAAGAGGAUUGUUUGAGCCCAGGAGUUCUGGACUGUGGUGAACUAUGCUGAUCGGAUGUUUCACUAAGUUUGGCAUUGAUAUGGUGACCUCCAGGGAGUGACUGGGGGACUACUAGGUUGCCUAGGGAGGAGAGUGAACUGGUCCAGGUUGGAAAUGAAGCAGUUCAAAACUUCCACACUGAUCAGUAGUGGGAUUGCACCUGUGAAUAGCCACCGCACUCCAGCCUGGGCAACAUAGUGAGACCCUGUCCUU
Molecule: signal recognition particle RNA, 294 nt
Filed under: Piliocolobus tephrosceles (Ugandan red Colobus)
Lineage: Eukaryota; Metazoa; Chordata; Mammalia; Primates; Cercopithecidae
Description: Metazoan signal recognition particle RNA (ENSPTEG00000006986.1)
Rfam family: Metazoan signal recognition particle RNA
About the family: The signal recognition particle (SRP) is a universally conserved ribonucleoprotein. It is involved in the co-translational targeting of proteins to membranes.
Source: RNAcentral